Molecule: ribosomal RNA, 253 nt
Filed under: uncultured bacterium
Lineage: Bacteria
Description: partial 16S ribosomal RNA
Rfam family: Bacterial small subunit ribosomal RNA
Source: RNAcentral
UACAGAGGGGGCAAGCGUUGUUCGGAAUUACUGGGCGUAAAGGGCGUGUAGGCGGCCUUCUAAGUCGAACGUGAAAUCCCUGGGCUCAACCCAGGAACUGCGUCCGAUACUGGAAGGCUUGAAUCCGGGAGAGGGAUGCGGAAUUCCAGGUGUAGCGGUGAAAUGCGUAGAUAUCUGGAGGAACACCGGUGGCGAAGGCGGCAUCCUGGACCGGUAUUGACGCUGAGGCGCGAAAGCCAGGGGAGCAAACGGG